GUAGGGAAUAUUGGGCAAUGGAUGCAAGUCUGACCCAGCCAUCCCGCGUGCCGGAAGAAGGCCCUCAGGGUUGUAAACGGCUUUUGACGGUGAAGAAUCGACAGGAUGCGUCCUAUUUUGACGGUAGCCGUUGAAUAAGCACCGGCUAACUCCGUGCCAGCAGCCGCGGUAAUACGGAGGGUGCGAGCGUUGUCCGGAUUUAUUGGGUUUAAAGGGUGCGUAGGCUGGAAGGUCAGUCAGCGGUGAAAAGCUGUCGCUUAACGAUAGUCUUGCCGCAGAUACUUCCUUUCUUGGAUGAGGAGGAGGCCACUGGAACGGAUGGUGUAGCGGUGAAAUGCAUAGAUAUCAUCCAGAACACCGAUUGCGAAGGCAGGUGGCUGUACCUUAAUCGACGCUGAUGCACGAAAGCAUGGGGAGCAAACAGGAUUAGAAACCCCUGUAGUCC
This 445-nucleotide ribosomal RNA is filed under the name uncultured bacterium. RNAcentral's name for it is "partial 16S ribosomal RNA". It matches the Rfam family "Bacterial small subunit ribosomal RNA", at positions 354 to 796 of the family's 1533-position model. The record is from RNAcentral.